Molecule: ribosomal RNA, 274 nt
Filed under: uncultured bacterium
Lineage: Bacteria
Description: partial 16S ribosomal RNA
Rfam family: Bacterial small subunit ribosomal RNA
Source: RNAcentral
AUACGGAGGAUCCAAGCGUUAUCCGGAAUCAUUGGGUUUAAAGGGUCCGUAGGUGGAUAAUUAAGUCAGAGGUGAAAUCCUGCAGCUCAACUGUAGCAUUGCCUUUGAUACUGGUUAUCUUGAGUUAUUAUGAAGUAGUUAGAAUAUGUAGUGUAGCGGUGAAAUGCAUAGAUAUUACAUAGAAUACCGAUUGCGAAGGCAGAUUACUAAUAAUAUACUGACACUGAGGGACGAAAGCGUGGGGAGCGAACAGGAUUAGAAACCCGAGUAGUCC